Molecule: ribosomal RNA, 556 nt
Filed under: Hyphopichia burtonii
Lineage: Eukaryota; Fungi; Ascomycota; Pichiomycetes; Serinales; Debaryomycetaceae
Description: eukaryotic LSU rRNA
Rfam family: Eukaryotic large subunit ribosomal RNA
Source: RNAcentral
AUAUCAAUAAGCGGAGGAAAAGAAACCAACAGGGAUUGCCUCAGUAACGGCGAGUGAAGCGGCAAAAGCUCAAAUUUGGAAUCUCAGUCUUUCAGGCUGCGAGUUGUAAUUUGAAGACGUAUUUUGAAGUAAGCACAUGUCGAAGUUCCUUGGAACAGGACGUCACAGAGGGUGAGAAUCCCGUGCGAUGUGUUCACUGCUUCAUGUAAAAUGCAGUCGAAGAGUCGAGUUGUUUGGGAAUGCAGCUCUAAGUGGGUGGUAAAUUCCAUCUAAAGCUAAAUAUUGGCGAGAGACCGAUAGCGAACAAGUACAGUGAUGGAAAGAUGAAAAGAACUUUGAAAAGAGAGUGAAAAAGUACGUGAAAUUGUUGAAAGGGAAGGGCUUGAGAUCAGACUCGGGCAACCGGGCCAGCAUGGGGUGGGGGAGUAGGAUAACCCUGCAGGAAAGUGGCUUCGCUUCGGUGGAGUGUUAUAGCCUGUAGCUAUACUGCUACCCUCGCCCGAGGACUGCGGAAACAAGGAUGCUGGCAUAAUGAUCUUAAGCCGCCCGUCUUGAA